CUCUUUUAGAAAAAAAUAAAAGUAUAUUCUGCUCAAUGAUUAAUUAAAUAGCUACAUAAUUUGUACUAAGGUAGCAUUAUCAAUUGUCUAUUAAAUGUGGUCUUGUAUGAAAGAAUAAAUAAUUAAUUUCUUUAUUUUUAAUAUUUUUUGAAUUUGAACUUUUAGUUAAAAUGCUAAAAUGAAUUAUAGGGACAAGAAGACCCUAUAAAGCUUUUAAUAAUAAUUAUGAUAUUUAUUAUAUUUAAUUUUUAAUUGGGUUAAUUAUUUAUGAAUAAAAUAUAGAUUUAAAUAUAUUAAUUUAUAAGGAUCCUGUAUUAUAGAAAAUUGAAUAAGUUACUUUAGGGAUAACAGUAUAAUUUUUAUUUAUAAGUUCAAAUUUACAAUAAAGAUUGUAACCUCGAUGUUGAAUUAAUUUUAUUAUAUGGAGAAGGAUCUAUAUUAUAAUUUGACUGUUUGUCGAUUAAAAAAUUACA
RNAcentral lists this ribosomal RNA (473 nucleotides) under Rakaia sp. IZ-129612. RNAcentral describes it as "partial 16S large subunit ribosomal RNA". Lineage: Eukaryota; Metazoa; Arthropoda; Arachnida; Opiliones; Pettalidae. The record is from RNAcentral.